CCCGCUCAGAAACUCAAAGGAAUUGACGGGGCCCGCACAAGCGGAGGAGCAUGUGGUUAAUUCGAUGAUACGCGAGGAACCUUACCUGGGCUCGAACGUAAGAUGACUGUAGGUGAAAGCUUACAUCUCUUCGGAGCAUUUUACGAGGUGCUGCAUGGUUGUCGUCAGCUCGUGCCGUGAGGUGUCGGGUUAAGUCCCAUAACGAGCGCAACCCUACCUUUAGUUGCCAUCAGGUAAUGCUGGGGACUCUAAAGGAACUGCCUACGCAAGUAGUGAGGAAGCGGGGAUGACGUCAAAUCAGCACGGCCCUUACGUCCAGGGCUACACACGUGCUACAAUGGCCGAUACAGAGGGCAGCUACCUGGUGACAGGAUGCAAAUCUCCAAAGUCGGUCUCAGUUCGGAUCGGAGUCUGCAACCCGACUCCGUGAAGUUGGAUUCGCUAGUAAUCGCGCAUCAGCCAUGGCGCGGUGAAUACGUUCCCGGGCCUU
RNAcentral lists this ribosomal RNA (490 nucleotides) under uncultured Sphingobacteriales bacterium. Its description in RNAcentral is "bacterial SSU rRNA". It matches the Rfam family "Bacterial small subunit ribosomal RNA", at positions 888 to 1382 of the family's 1533-position model. Lineage: Bacteria; Pseudomonadati; Bacteroidota; Sphingobacteriia; Sphingobacteriales. The record is from RNAcentral.